UACGGGGGGGGCAAGCGUUGUUCGGAAUUACUGGGCGUAAAGCGCGCGUAGGCGGGCUGGAAAGUUGGGGUGAAAUCCCGGGGCUCAACCCCGGAAUGGCCUUCAAAACUCCCAGCCUAGAGUUCGAGAGAGGUGAGUGGAAUUCCGAGUGUAGAGGUGAAAUUCGUAGAUAUCGAGAGGAACACCGGCGGCGAAGGCGGCCAUCUGGACGAGGACUGACGCUGAGAUGCGAAAGCGUGGGGAGCAAACAGGAUUAGAAACCCGGGUGAGUCCAG
RNAcentral lists this ribosomal RNA (275 nucleotides) under uncultured bacterium. Its description in RNAcentral is "partial 16S ribosomal RNA". It matches the Rfam family "Bacterial small subunit ribosomal RNA", at positions 524 to 798 of the family's 1533-position model. The record is from RNAcentral.